ACAAAUUGUUUUGCUCCUUUAUUUAAGUUUUUGUAUUUGAUGAAAUUUUUGGGUUCUAGUUGUAAUUACAUUAAGUAGUGGACUUUUGUGUUCUUACAAAGUGACCUCAAAAGUUUGUGUUUUGCAACAUAGCCCAAAAAGUUGAGGUUAUUGCAUUUGGCCCAAAUCAGUUGACAACAAAAUAGUUUUGUAUCUUUAAAUGAGAAUUGGAUUUUCAUUUCAUUUAGCUCCAUUUAAAUCAAUUCUAUGGAAACAAAAACCAAAUGAAAAUGUUGCAUUCAAGUUUAAUUAGUUAAAGCAUUAAUUAAUUAAAGAAAGGGUGAUUAUGAACCUAAGCCUACGAUAAUUGAGCUAUGUGAAAGGCCAUCUCAAAUUUGUUUGAACCAUGGGAAUGUGUAGAUUAGAUUUUGGUUGUAAUUUGAUAUGAUCAAAUGUUGUAAAAGAGCAUAAGCUCUUCUUUACUUUAAAGUAAUUUGUUUUGAUCAAAUGUUGUAAAAGAGCAUAAAUUCUUCUUUACUUUGAAGUACUCAUUUCUUGUUUUAUUUGAUAUGCAUGAAAUUGGAGUAGUUGGGUCCAACGCCCAAUAAGAAAAACACACCUUAAUAUGAUUAAACGCGUAACUAAAAUCAAUCACCAUCCCUAGACCGAGAUUCAACACUAGGCUCGUGUUGGAUCUAAUCAAAGGUUCAUAGUCAUCCUAAGGCCCUAAGGCAACUAUAUAGUCCAUCAAUGAAUGAAACCUUAUGUUAGUAGUACCAUAUAGUCUUGCUUUAAAAACCGUUUUACAAGCAUAGUGGGAGUAUUAUAUACUACUAAAUCAAUCACAUGGACCAAUAGUUGUAAUAGGACCAAAUUGUUUUAAUUAGAUUAAAAUGCAUGCUUAUAUGUGAUGAGACCUAAAACCCUCAACCAAACCAUUAUUAAGUUGAUAAGCGUGAGAGUGCUUUGAACACUCUUUCGUGGCCUUCCACCGUGAUAGGCUCCAAUCAUUUGUGACUCGUACACCGACUUCACCCUAUCAUGGGGGAGUACAAAGUGCGUGCUUACACUCAGGAGGAGUUCUAUAUGCAUACAUGAUGUUGUGAAGGUAGGCAACGAGAAUGAUCAACAUCAUAUCAUUGUGAGGUUGUUCUUGAACCCCUACUCGAACUUACAUGGUGGGGAAUGACUUAACUAAGUGCAAUGGAGCCAACGUCAUAUCAUUGUGAGGCUUCAUUCUCUAGAGGCCAAAUAAGAUGGGUACUUGCAAGAGAUGCAAAUGAGUAAGCGUACUCUUUCAUUAUUAUUGAUGCUAGCCAACAUCAUAUUAUUGUGAGGUGGGCUUGGUAAUGAUGAGUCUCCCAUACCCUACUAAGAGUUUCCUCCAAAGCUCUCGAAUUCCGAUGAGGGAUAUGGAAUUUGCCAAAAAUAGUGGGUGGUGCUAUUUGAUUUAAAGACCCAGAUCAAAUGGCUUAAAAUCAAUCAAUUUAUAUUCGUUAUGUAUUAAUUUACUAAUAUAUUUGCAAACGCUAUCCAAAACUUGACAAAGAAAAAGCCGAAAGCUUUAGUUUCCGGACUUGGUGUUACAAUCCCAUAAAUUGUCUAAAAUUGGCUUGUAUAUGUACCUAAGUAGUCUCAUCCUCGCAAUCUUCCUAUUGAUAAUGUAUCAUUGGAAGAACAUGUUAGGCAAAUCUAUCAUAAAGAGGACAACACUUUUAAUGUCAUAAUUCUUCAAUUACAAAUUGUUGUAUGAAGAAGUAAGAGUUGCUUUGAACAACCCUUAAUUAACGCAAACAUUAGUGCUCGUUUCUUUGUUACAUGAACAAGGAACUUCAGAAGUAAGCACAAGGGCAUGGACACUUUAUGUGCCAUGAUUCUUCACUUACAAAUUGUUGUAUGAAGAAAUGAGAGUUGCCUUGAACAACUCUUGAAAGUUUGUAGUUGUGUUUAGAACAUAAUGGUUGGUUGACAAAAUAGUCCAUCAACAUGGACUUAUGAUGAUUUUGAAUCAUUGAGUGUUGAAGUGUUAAACCACUUCUGAAGACAGAAACUAGGCAAGGACUUCACUUUUGUGUCCCUAUAGAAAUGAUUCACUAAGUUUAUUCUAAACUAUAUAGUGAACAAAUAACCACACGCUCUCCAAAUUGUUUGAUGUAUAUAACACAAUUGAAAUAAGUUUCAAGAGAGAUAGUGGGAGUUUAGGGACCAUGACUAUUGUAGUCAAAGGAGAAGUCAAAUGAAGAAGGCAAAAUAACUCCAAGGGAACAAACUUUCUUUAUGAAAGGAUGGACAUUGGAAGGGGUAUUUGCAAGAAAUGUCUUGCAAGUGUCAAGAACACACCUUUCGAAGGUGUUGUAAAAUGUUCUUGAAAAGUUCAAAACAGUUGGUUCUUCUACUUGAAUGCUUGAUUCUGUAUUAGUAACAAUGUUUUACAAUCGUUGUAAAAGUGUGGCUAAUAAGAAGUAGAAGAUUAAUGAGAGAAGAGAAAGUACUUCACAUUCGAAACGUGAAUCAAAUAUAGAUCUCUGCGAAAGCAGGUAGUACUUACUUCCUCAUAUGAACUACCAAAGAAAAUGGAAAAACAAAGAUUGUCUUUACAUUCCAAUUGAAUAAAGAAACUUAAUUCCGUAUGAGAAAUGGAUAAAUGUUUUGUUUGACAAAACAUUGUUCUUUAUUAAUGAAUGAUUAGAUUAUUGUAAUCUAAUUGAUUAUCUCUAUAGUAGAGAUGAUAUGGUAGUGUUAACUGUUUAGAAUAUAAUGAUGCUUAAAACCCAAAAGGUUGCAAGGUAGUGACUAAUCCUAACUGAGUUGUGAUACCUCUAAAACAUAAAUUACGAGUUGGUCAUAGAUGGAUGCUUUGGAUCAUUAGAUCUGGAUCCAAUGCCUUCUUCUUAAAAUUGUAUAGAGGCAAAAUGUUUGAAUCUUUAUUCUUUUGGAAAGGAAGAAAGAAUCACAAAGUUGUUGAGGUUAAAUCACUUAGAUGUUAGUGGCACUUGUCCACAACAAAAUACUACUCAUGUUGUAUGACAUUCGCCGAAGAUCGCUCUCGGUUGGACUAUCGUUUAUUUUGAAAAAACACAAGUAUGAAUACUUUGCAAAAGGUUUCAAAGAAUUCAAGAAUGUAAGUUGAUGAGUAAGACGUCUAAAGUAUUUACCUCCUUAGAUUUGAUCCAAAAAAAGGUAACACUUUAGAACAGUUUCCUUGAAAGAUAUCAAGGAAAGAAGCAUCAUAAGAUAAUGGAUUUCUCCAUUAAAAAAACAACGAACUCGAAUAAGAUUUAGUUCGUCGGAUGUUAUCAAUUACCCAUAUAUAGGAUAUAUACUUCUAAGACAAUAUGAUUGUCAAUUAGAAGAUCUUCCAAAAUUUUCAUGACUCCAUAGGAUGUAGUUGGAAAGAAAGACAAAUAUUAAUCAUGUUAAGAUUUGGGGUUGUGCUAAUAAGCAAUAUUUGUUUAAAGAAUUAUCUUGUGGGUAUCCUUAAAUCAACAUUUGGAUAUCACUUCUAUAAACCAACUAACAAAUGUUGUUUGUUGGGUAGUUCAUUAUAAUCCUACACUAGGAUUUGCCUAAGAUAGAGCAAAUGAACGAGGGAUAGAACUUAAAGAAUGGGUUCUUUAAGAGACAAGAUAGUGAUCAACAAAUAUAACAACCUAGUUCCUAUACCACAAGCUCCAAGGUAGUUGAGAAGGAUUUAUAAACUGUCUCAGUUGAAUGGUUUGAACUUUAUGAUUAUGUCAUAGAGUUACACCUCUUAAUUCAAAAGAAAUAAGAAUGAAAAUCCUUAUGACUACAUUGAGGGUAUAUACGACAUAUACUCAAGGAAAUGGUAAAGUACCAUUUGACCCGAAAUAAUGAAACCUUCAUAGCUAAUUGGUAGCUUAAGGUGACUACAAUCAAACAGAAUGGCUGACUUGGAAGAAACCAUCUUUGACAUAGUCGUGGUUUCAAUUAAUUCAAAGAUUUCUAGCUACAACUAAAUGGUGAUUCAAUGUUUGGACAUAAUAUGGGUUUCCGAAACCAUUAUUAUGAUAGUCUUGAUAAUAUAUGUCUGAAACUAUGAUUCACAAGACAUGUAAGUUGUAGAGAUCCAUCCAUCAUGAAUCUUAGCAAGCUAGUAGGAGCUAUAAGCGUCUUAUGAGAGAAGGAUCAAAUCAAUUGAUUUCUCAUAAAGAUAUAAAUGAAUCUUUUGUUUACUAGGUUUACAAAAGAUUAGUAGGAGUUAAUCAUGUUCCUAAAAAUUUAACAUAUAUAUGAUAUAAUAAUUUUGGAAAUGAAAAGAAUACUUCUUCGUUAAAGUUAUGAUUUUAAACAUUCUAUAAAGAUAGAAUGUAUAUGGGAGACAUAGUCUAUAAACAUGGGAUGGAAAUCUAUAAUGAUAGAUUUCAGGAUAUAAUUGGAUUAUAUCAAGCCCUAAUACUAGACAAAAGAUGCUAGGAAGUUUCUCAUAUGAUGAUAAACUUCAUUCUGAAGAACAACUCUAGUAAGACUAGCAGGUAGCUCUUCUCAAAGGGAACGUACCCUUUGAGUCCCAAAGAAAUAAUGCGUAAAUAGAAUCCUUUAUGCAUACACAGAAAGGUGAUUUAUGUAUUUCCUAUUGUAUGAAAAACAUUGAUAUGAGUUGUACCUAGAACGGUGCAAGACGAUAUCACUACAAGUCAGGAUCAGAAUCAUGGCAACUGUCAAGUGAAUCCUUAAGUAUUUAAGAAAUACUAAAGGAUAGAUUCCUCAAAGAAUGAGGAAGAAUUAGAGUAACGUAAUGGAAGCGUAAAUGUAUUAGAUUAUGAAUCUAAUCCAUUAUUGGAUGUUUCUUCAUUAUGAAUGAAGAGAUAAUCAGAUAUCUCUUUAUUAUGACUAAAGAGAUAUUUGGAUGGAAACAUUAAAAGUAAUGACUUUAGUGUGUUCCAUUAUGAAUGCAAAAUAUAUUGCCAUAUAGAAGCUUACAACAAUGUUUUUUGGAUGGGAAAGUUCAUUUAUGAACUCUCUAUUCGGUUCCAACCAGAAAGUAUCUCCAGUGUACCAACACUACGACACUAAUGGGGCAAUAGCUAAAGCCAGAGAAUCACGGUCUCAUCAAGAUCUGAACUCAAAUGAGAGACUGAACCACAUGAUUGAGAAUCAUGUAUAAUGGUGACGUCGUUAUUCUCAAGGUUGCUUCUAUGGAUAACAUAUAGAUAUCCAUUGCCUAGGCCUACUACUCAGCCAUUUUUGAAAUGACUUCAGAAAAGGUAUCAUCACUAACGACCAAGCUGAUUGGCUCUAGUGCAAGUGGGAGAUUGUUGGAAAUGUGCCGUAAAACCAAUCAUAUGAUGAUACUUUACGGACAUUUCACAUGUUAAACUAAUCUAGUUUAAUAUCAAGGGCAAAGAUUAUUGUUUUAAGCUGUCUCAUAUAAAUGUUAUAUGCUUAAAAGAUAAGUCCAAGGAAUAUGUAAUUAGGAGAAUGUAAUUUAAAGAAGUUAUAUUCAUGAGACCAUUCUCUUUCGUAUACAUAUCCUAAACGUUCCUGAUCAUAGGAUUGCCA
This 5499-nucleotide long non-coding RNA is filed under the name Malus domestica (apple). Its description in RNAcentral is "long non-coding RNA (MDOM_LNC002001)". The record is from RNAcentral. Lineage: Eukaryota; Viridiplantae; Streptophyta; Magnoliopsida; Rosales; Rosaceae.